UAAUUUAUUUUUUCACAAUUAUGUACAUUGUUCAAAUCUCCCGAAGCACCUUAGCGCCACCUGUUGACAGCCACAGGUCAAACAGAGACUUACAAAACCGGGCCAAGUUCAUCCAUCACGUUACGACGCUACAAACGUUUAUUUGCAAAUAUUCCCGUUUCGUCUGGAUCUCUGUAACUACUCGUAUUUGGACAAUACGAAAGCUUGUUAUGUGAGUGACCCAGCAGCAGUGCUAUGAGAGCUAGCAGCAUGCCGCUCCUUUAAUGACCUAUGAGAGCUGUGGACCCAGGCCAUACACGGGGAACCUGAGAACCUGCUGAGCAACUUCUGUUGAUCUAAGCCAGCUCACUCGAAUAAACCACAGUAUCGCUCACAGAGCAGGUGAGCUGCACCAAUUCACAGGAGUCCGCCAUAGACCUCCACAGCCUGAGAAACUUAACCUUCCAAUGAAAACCACAAUGUCCUGACCUAAAACAAGAGAUGUGAACAACAGCAAAUAAAACACUGGAUAUACUCGCAGGCUUAUAAAAGUAUCGAAACUCUGGAUUGUUCAGAAGAAUUUGGAGAACAACUGAUGGGACGUUGAGGAGAAUUCAUAUCAUCGCAAAACUCCGAAACUGCCUUCCAUUUAUGCCUGGGUGCCCCAUUGAUCGCUGCUGAAGGACAUCUUGACAAUUACGCAAGGGACGCCUUCAAGAGAACGAUUCAAAGCCGACUGCGACACAAUGAGGAUCUUGCGUGUUUUUUGGGGGAGGGGGGGCUACAAAGAAAAUUUCGCAGAUCAGUUUUGCAACCUGUUACUUUCGCCGCUGCUUUCUCAUUGGCGUCUCACACAGCCAGAUUUUUGGCUUCUAAAGGUCUUCUGCGCAAGGAAAAGCAGAUGCUUCUGAAUAUUCAAAAGGUGUGGUUUUAUGAAAAACGCCUACUCACACUUAUGUCACUUUUGAUCGCUGUUUAAAAGGUUAGUUUGCCCCAAAAUGAAAACUCCGUCAUUAAUUACUCACCCUCAUUUUGUUCCAAACCCCUAAGACAUUCGUUCAUCUCACAAAUUAAAAUAUUGUUGAUAAAAUCUGAGAGCUGUCUGACUCUCCAUAGACAGGUCCAGAAACAGGAACGUAAUCUGCGGUUGUUUACGCCUAGGGAAGAGCGCACGUAUGCCUUGUGAUACUCUCUAAAAUGGCAGAAGGCGUAACUCGGGAGAGAAGAAUGGUUGAGUAAAUUGUUAGUUUUUGUUUUCUUUGUAUUCAUGUAGUGUCGCAAAACUGAAGUUGCGCCACCGAUGUCACAUGCACUGUUUUAAAGAAGUAUUUAUUACGUUUCUGGGAUCAUUUCAGUUGUACUGAACUGCUAUGCAGGGUUAGAUAGCUCUCCGAUUUCAUCUAAUAUGUAUUCAUUUGUAUUCAGAAGAUGAACAAAGGUCUUACUGGUUUGGAAUGGCAUGAACUAGCCCUUUAAGUUUUCCAGGCGCAGUCCGCUCCGUCUUCAGAGUUAUCAGAGAAGCUGGACCUGGCCCAAUGUGUCAAAGUGACCCUAUUACAAUGACUGCGAGACUAGAUCCCUCUCGUGGCCUGCACUCACACCCGCCUGCCUCUCCACAGGAUGUAAAUGGCCGUUUAAAUGAAUUAAUGUAAGGUUUCUUUCAUACAUGCCCCAGUAAUAUUGAAGCCAUUACGGUCCUCUCCGGAGUUGGCAUGGUCAGAGCUUAGUGCUUAAUGUCUUCCACGUUGAGCUUAUUAAUCUAAACAGUGCGGCCCAGCUGCUCUGAAUCGGCCGUUCCUGAGCAGCGGCGGCGGUCUCGCAUCUGAACAGCUGCCAUGUGUGGCUGUGGAAAAGCUAACUGGCUUGUGUCAUUUUCUUCACUUAAUUCUGACCACUCUUGGUGAGUAGGUUUUCACAGGGGCCUUCAUUGAGACCGCUUCCAACUGUAAAGCCCCACUCGGAUACGCCGUUCCUCCCUGAGGUCUCGCCAAAAAAAAGAAACCACAGAGCCACUGAUUUACAUGGCUUUGACUCCCACUACCAACCACCUCAAACUGCUUUGGGCUGCGGAGCUGAGCCCGAACCGUUUAAAGCCUUAUAAAUGUGUUCGUGUAUUACAGGGAGAUGAUUAAUCAGAAAUGACUUGUUUAUGGAGUGUAUGACAAUGUGUUGAUUUUCAACACGGUCGUGACAUGUGGCGAACAUCAGCGCUGCUUUUCUCUGACUGUGCGAGUUGGAAAGAUCAUUUACGAGAGUGGACUGAAAUUACGGUUUGGCUGCUCUUGUGGCUUAUCAUUUUUAUUGUCAAAUUAAAAACAGUGAAACAUUUGAGCGCUGCUUGAUUCAAGCAGGGACGGGUUUAUGGUUGUCAAUGAGAUUGGUAAGUAGUUUUCUCCACUUCCUAAAGGUUUCGCAUCUUUUUAACCAACAGAUGAGUUGAUUAGAAAUUAUGAUUAGAGAUGGGGAAAGCCACAAACUGGAUUCGAUCUCUCAUUAAGUCCAUGUGCAAUAACCGCUAGGCCACAGCAUCGCCUCUUUUUUCUCUUAGAGAUGUAGUUAAAUUCUCCUAACAAAGAAACUCCUCUUUGGAUUCAUCCAAAACGUAUUAAAAAAAAAGUACAGGUUUUGGUAACUCUUUAUUUUACGGUUACACCUAUUAGUUGCUUAUUAGCAUGCAUAUUACCAGAAUGUUUAUUACACAUUUAUUAGUGCUAAUUAAGCAAAUAUUAAUGCCUUAUUCUACGUUACCUUAUUCUUCCCGAUUCCUUCUCAAUACCUAAACUGAACAACUACCUUACUAACUAUUAAUAAGCAUCAAAUGAAGAAUUUAUUGAGUGCUACCUAUUCUAAAGAGUUACCAGUUUUUACCUUAUUUUAAAGUGUUAUCGAAAAAAAAUAAUAAAACAAAAUACAAAAAGCCCAUAAAGAUUCAUACACGUUUCUAAUUCAUAUUGCAUCUUAUUCUUAUUGCAUCCACCAUGAAUAUGAGUGUGAGAGAUAUACUGUAUAAAACAACAAACCACAGUUCACAUGGUUUAUAGUUAGAGGUUGAAAUCUCAGCAAGUAAAGCUGCAUCUUUGAUAUUGAUUGAAAGAUACAAAAUGCACUGCAUUUUACCUUGCUUUGUCUAUUCAAGUCCACGUCAUACUAACAAGGAACUUAUGUUCUCCGUUGGUUUACAAUUACAUUAUGUUUGCAAUGUGUUACACA
Molecule: long non-coding RNA, 3189 nt
Organism: Puntigrus tetrazona (Sumatra barb)
Lineage: Eukaryota; Metazoa; Chordata; Actinopteri; Cypriniformes; Cyprinidae
Exons: 5
Source: RefSeq, a predicted model, not a curated record